GAUGAAGAACGUAGCGAAAUGCGAAAAGUAAUGUGAAUUGCAGAAUUCAGUGAACCAUCGAAUCUUUGAACGCACAUUGCGCCCGCUGGAACUCCGGCGGGCACGCCUGUCCGAGCGUCAUUUCAACCCUCAGGCCCCCCUUCGCGGGCGGGCCUGGUGUUGGGGCCCGGCCGCUACCCUGCGGCCGUCCCCUAAAUUCAGUGGCGGCCUCGCCGUGAUCCCUUGCGUAGUAAUGCACCUCGCACCGGAGAGCGCCGUGGCCACGCCGUAAAACACCCAACUUCUGAAUGUUGACCUCGAAUCAGGUAGGAAUACCCGCUGAACUUAAGCAUAUCAAUAAGCGGAGGA
This 348-nucleotide unclassified non-coding RNA is filed under the name soil metagenome. RNAcentral describes it as "partial contains 5.8S ribosomal RNA, internal transcribed spacer 2, and large subunit ribosomal RNA". The stretch from base 1 to 120 matches the Rfam family "5.8S ribosomal RNA", at positions 35 to 154 of the family's 154-position model. The record is from RNAcentral.